Molecule: ribosomal RNA, 254 nt
Filed under: uncultured prokaryote
Description: partial 16S ribosomal RNA
Rfam family: Bacterial small subunit ribosomal RNA
Source: RNAcentral
UACGGAGGAUGCAAGCGUUAUCCGGAUUCAUUGGGUUUAAAGGGUGCGUAGGCGGGCUAUUAAGUCAGUGGUGAAAUCCUGCAGCUUAACUGCAGAACUGCCAUUGAUACUGAUAGUCUUGAGUUUGGUUAAGGUAGGCGGAAUGUGUAAUGUAGCGGUGAAAUGCUUAGAUAUUACACAGAACACCAAUUGCGUAGGCAGCUUACUGAGCCGACACUGACGCUGAGGCACGAAAGCGUGGGGAUCGAACAGGA